RNAcentral lists this ribosomal RNA (231 nucleotides) under uncultured bacterium. RNAcentral's name for it is "partial 16S ribosomal RNA". It matches the Rfam family "Bacterial small subunit ribosomal RNA", at positions 103 to 334 of the family's 1533-position model. The record is from RNAcentral.
CGGGUGAGUAACGCGUGGAUAACCUGCCUCACACUGGGGGAUAACAGUUAGAAAUGACUGCUAAUACCGCAUAAGCGCACAGUACCGCAUGGUACAGUGUGAAAAACUCCGGUGGUGUGAGAUGGAUCCGCGUCUGAUUAGCUAGUUGGCGGGGUAACGGCCCACCAAAGCGACGAUCAGUAGCCGACCUGAGAGGGUGACCGGCCACAUUGGGACUGAGACACGGCCCAA